GAUGAACGCUGGCGGCGUGCCUAAUACAUGCAAGUCGAGCGAACGGACGAGAAGCUUGCUUCUCUGAUGUUAGCGGCGGACGGGUGAGUAACACGUGGAUAACCUACCUAUAAGACUGGGAUAACUUCGGGAAACCGGAGCUAAUACCGGAUAAUAUUUUGAACCGCAUGGUUCAAAAGUAAAAGACGGUCUUGCUGUCACUUAUAGAUGGAUCCGCGCUGCAUUAGCUAGUUGGUAAGGUAACGGCUUACCAAGGCAACGAUGCAUAGCCGACCUGAGAGGGUGAUCGGCCACACUGGAACUGAGACACGGUCCAGACUCCUACGGGAGGCCGCAGUAGGGAAUCUUCCGCAAUGGGCGAAAGCCUGACGGAGCAACGCCGCGUGAGUGAUGAAGGUCUUCGGAUCGUAAAACUCUGUUAUUAGGGAAGAACAUAUGUGUAAGUAACUGUGCACAUCUUGACGGUACCUAAUCAGAAAGCCACGGCUAACUACGUG
This 497-nucleotide ribosomal RNA is filed under the name uncultured bacterium. RNAcentral's name for it is "partial 16S ribosomal RNA". It matches the Rfam family "Bacterial small subunit ribosomal RNA", at positions 28 to 507 of the family's 1533-position model. The record is from RNAcentral.